This 559-nucleotide long non-coding RNA is filed under the name Homo sapiens (human). RNAcentral describes it as "HSALNT0328429". The record is from RNAcentral. Lineage: Eukaryota; Metazoa; Chordata; Mammalia; Primates; Hominidae.
GAAAAUCCCAGCCUUCUGUGCUCUGGGCCCCCACAGCAAACACUGCCAAGGUCACGUCGACAGGCAGGCUAUAGAAAGGAACACACUCGGAGGCCCAGUAUGGUGGUGAGAAGAACCAGAAGGCACUCAAAAUUUAGGCCAGAAGGAUACGGUCUUCUAAGAAGACUUCAAGGCUGUUAUAAAGACCCAGUGGUGGGAGAAACCUGAUCCGGUAUAGCGGGGCCAGAAGAAGCUGCGGGACCAUGCCGCGGGGACAAGGCAAGGAGUUUCGCCAGGAUGUUGAUCUCCUGGUUAUCUACACUUCCGCCUCAGUAUGAUCUGAAUUAUUAAUGAGAAAGAUUAAGAUACAGAUUCCUUCCUUCAAGUGCCUUAGUAGUCACAGACAGGAGGUUAAUUAUAAGACUAAAAGCAAUCUUGGGUUGUUAGAAGAACUUAAAGGAAAACACCUUUCAACUUCUUGUUAUCAAUCAAUCAUUUUUGUCUUUAGAAAUCAAGAAUUUGAACAAUAACAGCUGCUUUCAGAAAUAAACCGCGACUUUGUGCAGCGUGUAUUACCUGA